This 29-nucleotide non-coding RNA is filed under the name Mus musculus (house mouse). The record is from RNAcentral. Lineage: Eukaryota; Metazoa; Chordata; Mammalia; Rodentia; Muridae.
UACUCUGUGAGAAUACUACUCCCCCCCAC